UUUCUCCGCCGGCGACCGGCGCACGGGUGAGUAACACGUAUGCAACCUGCCCCUGUCAGGGGGACAACCCGCCGAAAGGCGGGCUAAACCCCGCGUACAUGCCACCGGGGCAUCCCGGAGGCAGGAAAGGCUUCGGCCGGACAGGGAUGGGCAUGCGGCGCAUUAGGCAGUAGGCGGGGUAACGGCCCACCUAACCGACGAUGCGUAGGGGUUCUGAGAGGAAGGUCCCCCCACACUGGUACUGAGACACGGACCAGACUCCUACGGGAGGCAGCAG
RNAcentral lists this ribosomal RNA (277 nucleotides) under uncultured bacterium. Its description in RNAcentral is "partial 16S ribosomal RNA". It matches the Rfam family "Bacterial small subunit ribosomal RNA", at positions 80 to 354 of the family's 1533-position model. The record is from RNAcentral.